GUCUCUCCUGUGGUGCAAUGGGUCAGUGCAUCUGGCCAUUAACCAGAAGGUUAGUGGUUCGAGUGCACCCAGUGACA
Podarcis lilfordi (Lilford's wall lizard) is the source of this 77-nucleotide non-coding RNA. Lineage: Eukaryota; Metazoa; Chordata; Lepidosauria; Squamata; Lacertidae. The record is from the annotation of a GenBank genome assembly.